AGCGCAGGCGGGAUAGCAAGUUGGAUGUGAAAUACCGGGGCUCAACCCCGGAGCUGCAUCCAAAACUGUUAUUCUUGAGUGAAGUAGAGGUUGGCGGAAUUCCGAGUGUAACGGUGAAAUGCGUAGAUAUUCGGAGGAACACCAGUGGCGAAGGCGGCCAACUGGGCUUUAACUGACGCUGAGGCUCGAAAGCAUGGGGAGCAAACAG
This 208-nucleotide ribosomal RNA is filed under the name uncultured bacterium. RNAcentral describes it as "partial 16S ribosomal RNA". It matches the Rfam family "Bacterial small subunit ribosomal RNA", at positions 568 to 775 of the family's 1533-position model. The record is from RNAcentral.